AGAGGCUGAGCAAAUUGGCAAAGUGAACAGAAGAUUAUUUGUGGUUGGGAAGCACUUCCUGGCCUCUCCACUCCAAGACACUGCUGGUGUCAGACAGU
Tinamus guttatus (white-throated tinamou) is the source of this 98-nucleotide non-coding RNA. The record is from RefSeq and is a predicted model, not a curated record. Lineage: Eukaryota; Metazoa; Chordata; Aves; Tinamiformes; Tinamidae.